UACGUAGGUGGCAAGCGUUGUCCGGAUUUAUUGGGCGUAAAGAGCUCGUAGGCGGUUUGUUGCGUCGGCUGUGAAAUCCCGAGGCUCAACCUCGGGUCUGCAGUCGAUACGAGCAAACUAGAGUGUUGCAGGGGAGACUGGAAUUCCUGGUGUAGCGGUGAAAUGCGCAGAUAUCAGGAGGAACACCGGGUGGCGAAGGCGGUUCUCUGGGCCUGUAACUGACGCUG
This 227-nucleotide ribosomal RNA is filed under the name uncultured bacterium. RNAcentral's name for it is "partial 16S ribosomal RNA". It matches the Rfam family "Bacterial small subunit ribosomal RNA", at positions 524 to 748 of the family's 1533-position model. The record is from RNAcentral.